Molecule: non-coding RNA, 1233 nt
Organism: Schizosaccharomyces pombe (fission yeast)
Lineage: Eukaryota; Fungi; Ascomycota; Schizosaccharomycetes; Schizosaccharomycetales; Schizosaccharomycetaceae
Source: the annotation of a GenBank genome assembly
AAACGUGUCGAAUUUUCUUAAGCCUACUUGAUUGGUAAUCUGUAUACCUCAAAGUUACAUCUUUUGCGUAUAAAUCGUUAUCAUAUGCAGCAACAAUACCCAUUCGUAGAUGUUUUGACUCUGCAUACGCUCCUUUGGGUUCAAACCAAGUCAUAUCGUUGGUAUAUACCCCAUUCAAGACAACCGCAUCUACCGCAAUCCAUUUCUUCUCACUUUGAUCAUAGAUUUCCGUCCAAAAAAUAGGAUAGCGGAGGUCGUCAUCUAUAGAUGUACUAGUUUCUUCAGGGAGGAUAUGUGGAGACCAAUCAUCAUAGGAAGCAGUAGAAAAUGUCAAAGGUUGAAGAGAAAAUAUAAGUCUUGCUUUCAGAUUCAGAGAUCGACAGAGAGCAGUAAAUCCCUGUGCCGCCAAAUCCCGGCUUCCUUUUAGCGAAAGUAAGGAUGCUUGGUAUUCAUGAAAGUUAUGAAAUAUUUCUGGCGAAAAGCCGAUAUCAAAUCCUUGUUUCAAAGUACGAUACCCCAACUUCCGAAGCCCAUGACUCUCAAUUUUAAAAGAUUUAUUCCACCACAUCCGAAGCCCAUUUAACAAUUUUAACAAAUCCUCGUGCGUCUGGCUACUACAAACCCACGCCUCCACUACGGACGGUUGCUUUUCGACAAGCAAAUCGCGCAGCCCAUCAAGAAGUAAGGAAUUCAUUAACCAGCGAUUCCUUACUGACCCAUGGUACAACAAGCAAGUAAAGUGCAUAAUGUGAAUAGAUAAUCGAAUGCUUUUAUCCAUUGCACUAGAAGAGCCUUUCUUCGAUUCUUUUGUAAGUUGAGGAGUGAUAUGCUGUGUGACUAUGUGUAAAUCUUUUUUAUCUUCUUGUUUAUUAGGAGAAAGAUCAACUUGUUCCCAAGUGUCAAAAUCGUCGUCAAACUCGUCAUCUUCUGAGCUGCCUAACUUCUCAUUGUCUUCAUCGGAACCUUUUUCGGAUGAAGAUGCGCUCCUUUGAAGUGAGUUUAACGCUGAUAUAUUGUCAUCUAAACUCUCAGAAGGAGGUUCCGCUGAGGAAGACAAACUUGGCUUUUUCGACUGGCUACGAGUUUGACGGUGAGUUGAAGAUACAACAGUUUCCUCUUUCACUUCAGGAUUAAGAGGUAAGUUAUUGGUCCGUGUCCUACGUUUCCUUCCGCGAACAGAGUUCUUGGAUGCUUUGCGUUUGGGUGGCAUUGAGCAAAGAGUUUAUGUGAAUU